UUAACCCUACGGGACGCAGCAGUCGGGAAUAUUGCGCAAUGGAGGAAACUCUGACGCAGUGACGCCGCGUGCAGGAAGAAGGUUUUCGGAUUGUAAACUGCUUUAGACAGGGAAGAAACAAGACAGUACCUGUAGAAUAAGCUCCGGCUAACUACGUGCCAGCAGCCGCGGUAAUACGUAGGGAGCAAGCGUUAUCCGGAUUUACUGGGUGUAAAGGGAGCGUAGACGGAAUUGCAAGUCUGAUGUGAAAAUCCGGGGCCCAACCCCGGAAGUGCAUUGGAAACUGUAUUUCUAGAGUGUCGGAG
Molecule: ribosomal RNA, 305 nt
Filed under: uncultured bacterium
Lineage: Bacteria
Description: bacterial SSU rRNA
Rfam family: Bacterial small subunit ribosomal RNA
Source: RNAcentral